RNAcentral lists this ribosomal RNA (258 nucleotides) under uncultured bacterium. RNAcentral's name for it is "partial 16S ribosomal RNA". It matches the Rfam family "Bacterial small subunit ribosomal RNA", at positions 526 to 779 of the family's 1533-position model. The record is from RNAcentral.
CGUAGGGUGCAAGCGUUAAUCGGAAUUACUGGGCGUAAAGCGUGCGCAGGCGGUUUUUGUAAGUCUGAUGUGAAAUCCCCCGGGGCUCAACCUGGGGAAUUGCAUUGGAGACUGCAAGGCUAGAAUCUGGCAGAGGGGGGGUAGAAUUCCACGUGUAGCAGUGAAAUGCGUAGAUAUGUGGAGGAACACCGAUGGCGAAGGCAGCCCCCUGGGUCAAGAUUGACGCUCAUGCACGAAAGCGUGGGAGCAAACAGGAUU